This 269-nucleotide ribosomal RNA is filed under the name uncultured prokaryote. RNAcentral describes it as "partial 16S ribosomal RNA". It matches the Rfam family "Bacterial small subunit ribosomal RNA", at positions 524 to 792 of the family's 1533-position model. The record is from RNAcentral.
UACGUAGGGCGCAAGCGUUGUCCGGAUUUAUUGGGCGUAAAGAGUUCGUAGGCGGUCUGUCGCGUCGGAAGUGAAAUCCCGGAGCUCAACUCCGGGCCUGCUUUCGAUACGGGCAGACUUGAGUGUUGCAGGGGAGACUGGAAUUCCUGGUGUAGCGGUGGAAUGCGCAGAUAUCAGGAAGAACACCGGUGGCGAAGGCGGGUCUCUGGGCAACAACUGACGCUGAGGAACGAAAGCGUGGGGAGCAAACAGGAUUAGAUACCCCUGUA